GACGAACGCUGGCGGCGUGCCUAAUACAUGCAAGUCGAACGCUGAAGGAGGAGCUUGCUUCCCUGGACGAGUUGCGAACGGGUGAGUAACGCGUAGGGAACCUGCCUGGUAGAGGGGGAUAACAAUUGGAAACGAUAGCUAAUACCGCAUAAUAGCAGUUAUUGCAUGAUAACUGUUUGAAAGGUGCAGUUGUGCCACUACCAGAUGGACCUGCGUUGUAUUAUCUAGUUGGUGGGGUAACGGCUCACCAAGGCGACGAUACAUAGCCGACCUGAGAGGGGGAUCGGCCACACUGGGACGGAGACACGGCCCAGACUCCUUCGGGAGGCAGCAGGAGGGAAUCUUCGGCAAUUGACGGAAGGCUGACCGAGCAACGCCGCGGGAGUGAAGAAAGGUUUCGGAUCGUAAAGAUCUGUUGUAAGAGAAGAACGAGUUUGAGAGUGGAAAGUUCACGCUGUGACGGUAUCCUAUCAGAAAGCGACGGCUAACUACGUG
RNAcentral lists this ribosomal RNA (495 nucleotides) under uncultured bacterium. RNAcentral's name for it is "partial 16S ribosomal RNA". It matches the Rfam family "Bacterial small subunit ribosomal RNA", at positions 28 to 507 of the family's 1533-position model. The record is from RNAcentral.